RNAcentral lists this long non-coding RNA (226 nucleotides) under Bos taurus (domestic cattle). RNAcentral describes it as "long non-coding RNA NONBTAT007250". The record is from RNAcentral. Lineage: Eukaryota; Metazoa; Chordata; Mammalia; Artiodactyla; Bovidae.
UGUAGUUUAGAAAUCCCUUGGAAGACUCUUAGGCACUGCUCUGUAGUGGAGUGAUACUUUUUGAAGCACUUUGUGUAUGUUUUGCUUCUUUCCGAUAUAAAUUAGCAGUGCUUAGUGUGAUUUUUAUGAAGUUAUUAAGCUCUUCAGUAGUUAAGGCAGUACAUUGAAUCGAAAACCUCUCCUCGGUUUAACUUUAUCAAAUAGCAAUUGCUUGAUUUACUUCUGA